AUUGAACGCUGGCGGCAGGCCUAACACAUGCAAGUCGAACGGCUGAAGGGAGCUUGCUCCUGGAUCCAGCGGCGGACGGGUGAGUAAUGCCUAGGAACCUGCCUGGUCGUGGGGGAUAACGUCCGGAAACGGGCGCUAAUACCGCAUACGUCCUGAGGGAGAAAGUGGGGGAUCUUCGGACCUCGCGCUAUCAGAUGGGCCUAGGUCGGAUUAGCUAGUUGGUGGGGUAAAGGCCUACCAAGGCGACGAUCCGUAACUGGUCUGAGAGGAUGAUCAGUCACACUGGAACUGAGACACGGUCCAGACUCCUACGGGAGGCAGCAGUGGGGAAUAUUGGACAAUGGGCGAAAGCCUGAUCCAGCCAUGCCGCGUGUGUGAAGAAGGUCUUCGGAUUGUAAAGCACUUUAAGUUGGGAGGAAGAGGAGUAAGUUAAUACCUGGCGGUUUUGACGUUACCAACAGAAUAAGCGCCGGCUAACUUCGUG
This 484-nucleotide ribosomal RNA is filed under the name uncultured bacterium. RNAcentral's name for it is "partial 16S ribosomal RNA". It matches the Rfam family "Bacterial small subunit ribosomal RNA", at positions 30 to 507 of the family's 1533-position model. The record is from RNAcentral.